This 253-nucleotide unclassified non-coding RNA is filed under the name uncultured Hyphomonadaceae bacterium. RNAcentral describes it as "contains 16S-23S intergenic spacer region". It matches the Rfam family "Bacterial small subunit ribosomal RNA", at positions 524 to 776 of the family's 1533-position model. The record is from RNAcentral. Lineage: Bacteria; Pseudomonadati; Pseudomonadota; Alphaproteobacteria; Hyphomonadales; Hyphomonadaceae.
UACGGAGGGGGCUAGCGUUGUUCGGAAUUACUGGGCGUAAAGCGCUCGUAGGCGGAUUGGUCAGUCAGAGGUGAAAGCCCAGGGCUCAACCUUGGAAUUGCCUUUGAUACUGCCAGUCUUGAGUUCGGGAGAGGUGAGCGGAAUUCCGAGUGUAGAGGUGAAAUUCGUAGAUAUUCGGAGGAACACCAGAGGCGAAGGCGGCUCACUGGACCGAUACUGACGCUGAGGAGCGAAAGCGUGGGGAGCAAACAGG